This 20-nucleotide non-coding RNA is filed under the name Arabidopsis thaliana (thale cress). The record is from RNAcentral. Lineage: Eukaryota; Viridiplantae; Streptophyta; Magnoliopsida; Brassicales; Brassicaceae.
UCGAGGUGAGCCGGGCCAUU